UGUUUCCUACGGGGCGCAGCAGUGGGGGAUAUUGCACAAUGGGGGGAACCCUGAUGCAGCGACGCCGCGUGGGUGAAGGAGCGUUUCGGCGCGUAAAGCCCUAUCGGCAGGGAAGAAGAUGACGGUACCUGACCAAGAAGCCCCGGCUAACUACGUGCCAGCAGCCGCGGUAAUACGUAGGGGGCAAGCGUUAUCCGGAUUUACUGGGUGUAAAGGGGGCGCAGACGGCAAUGCAAGCCAGGAGUGAAAGCCCCGGGCCCAACCCCCGGACUGCUCUUGGAACUGCAUGGCUGGAGGACCUGCUG
RNAcentral lists this ribosomal RNA (305 nucleotides) under uncultured bacterium. Its description in RNAcentral is "bacterial SSU rRNA". It matches the Rfam family "Bacterial small subunit ribosomal RNA", at positions 333 to 655 of the family's 1533-position model. The record is from RNAcentral.